RNAcentral lists this ribosomal RNA (497 nucleotides) under uncultured bacterium. RNAcentral describes it as "partial 16S ribosomal RNA". It matches the Rfam family "Bacterial small subunit ribosomal RNA", at positions 28 to 523 of the family's 1533-position model. The record is from RNAcentral.
GAUGAACGCUGGCGGCGUGCUUAACACAUGCAAGUCGAACGAAGCACUUUACUUGAUCUUUUCGGAGUGAUUGUUUUGUGACUGAGUGGCGGACGGGUGAGUAACGCGUGGGUAACCUGCCUCACACAGGGGGAUAACAGUUGGAAACGGCUGCUAAUACCGCAUAAGCGCACAGUACCGCAUGGUACGGUGCGAAAAACUCCGGUGGUGUGAGAUGGACCCGCGUCUGAUUAGCUAGUUGGCAGGGCAACGGCCUACCAAGGCGACGAUCAGUAGCCGACCUGAGAGGGUGACCGGCCACAUUGGGACUGAGACACGGCCCAAACUCCUACGGGAGGCAGCAGUGGGGAAUAUUGCACAAUGGGGGAAACCCUGAUGCAGCGACGCCGCGUGAGCGAAGAAGUAUUUCGGUAUGUAAAGCUCUAUCAGCAGGGAAGAAGAAAUGACGGUACCUGACUAAGAAGCACCGGCUAAAUACGUGCCAGCAGCCGCUGUAA